This 601-nucleotide ribosomal RNA is filed under the name uncultured Massilia sp. RNAcentral's name for it is "bacterial SSU rRNA". It matches the Rfam family "Bacterial small subunit ribosomal RNA", at positions 128 to 724 of the family's 1533-position model. The record is from RNAcentral. Lineage: Bacteria; Pseudomonadati; Pseudomonadota; Betaproteobacteria; Burkholderiales; Oxalobacteraceae.
ACCCAAGAGUGGGGGAUAACGUAGCGAAAGUUACGCUAAUACCGCAUACGAUCUAAGGAUGAAAGCAGGGGAUCUUCGGACCUUGUGCUCCUGGAGCGGCCGAUAUCUGAUUAGCUAGUUGGUGAGGUAAAGGCUCACCAAGGCCACGAUCAGUAGCUGGUCUGAGAGGACGACCAGCCACACUGGAACUGAGACACGGUCCAGACUCCUACGGGAGGCAGCAGUGGGGAAUUUUGGACAAUGGGCGAAAGCCUGAUCCAGCAAUGCCGCGUGAGUGAAGAAGGCCUUCGGGUUGUAAAGCUCUUUUGUCAGGGAAGAAACGGUUUGGGCUAAUAUCCUGAGCUAAUGACGGUACCUGAAGAAUAAGCACCGGCUAACUACGUGCCAGCAGCCGCGGUAAUACGUAGGGUGCAAGCGUUAAUCGGAAUUACUGGGCGUAAAGCGUGCGCAGGCGGUUUUGUAAGUCUGACGUGAAAUCCCCGGGCUCAACCUGGGAAUUGCGUUGGAGACUGCAAGGCUAGAAUCUGGCAGAGGGGGGUAGAAUUCCACGUGUAGCAGUGAAAUGCGUAGAGAUGUGGAGGAACACCGAUGGCGAAGGCAG